GAUGAAGAACGUAUCGAAAUGCGAUAAGUAAUGUGAAUUGCAGAAUUCAGUGAAUCAUCGAAUCUUUGAACGCACAUUGCGCCCGCCAGUAUUCUGGCGGGCAUGCCUGUUCGAGCGUCAUUACAACCCUCAGGCCCCCGGGCCUGGCGUUGGGGAUCGGCAGAAGCCCCCUGUGGGCACACGCCGUCCCUCAAAUACAGUGGCGGUCCCGCCGCAGCUUCCAUUGCGUAGUAGCUAACACCUCGCAACUGGAGAGCGGCGCGGCCAUGCCGUAAAACACCCAACUUCUGAAUGUUGACCUCGAAUCAGGUAGGAAUACCCGCUGAACUUAAGCAUAUCAAUAAGCGGAGGA
RNAcentral lists this unclassified non-coding RNA (352 nucleotides) under soil metagenome. RNAcentral describes it as "partial contains 5.8S ribosomal RNA, internal transcribed spacer 2, and large subunit ribosomal RNA". The stretch from base 1 to 120 matches the Rfam family "5.8S ribosomal RNA", at positions 35 to 154 of the family's 154-position model. The record is from RNAcentral.